UCACUUUGCUAGGGGCGCCUUUGGCUGAGAAACGCAUCUGCGUUGACCCUUAUUACUUGAACCGGAUAAUACCGGCGUAAGGAAGCACAUAGUUCAACCU
Roseburia sp. CAG:45 is the source of this 100-nucleotide regulatory RNA element. It matches the Rfam family "TPP riboswitch aptamer (THI element)". Rfam says of the family: Vitamin B(1) in its active form thiamin pyrophosphate (TPP) is an essential coenzyme that is synthesised by coupling of pyrimidine and thiazole moieties in bacteria. The previously detected thiamin-regulatory element, thi box was extended, resulting in a new, highly conserved RNA secondary structure, the THI element, which is widely distributed in eubacteria and also occurs in some archaea. Analysis of operon structures identified a large number of new candidate thiamin-regulated genes, mostly transporters, in various prokaryotic organisms. Lineage: Bacteria; Bacillati; Bacillota; Clostridia; Lachnospirales; Lachnospiraceae. The record is from Rfam.